GACAUGAGUUUUUUACAUUAUAAAGUGGUGAAAUGAUUCCCUUUUUUAACAUAAUAUAAAUAGAAAAUAUGGCUACAACUCUCAAGAGUUUUUAUGUCAUGAUUCUUUUUUUAUUUCUUACUGUAACUGAAUUCAAUGCAGAAGCAUGCUUGGUUAAUGCGGAUUGUCCAAGUUCAGAUUGUACAAGGCCUGAGUAUGCAAUGUGCCGUUUGCAUAAUUGUACUUGCUAUGAAGAGAUCUACAGGAACCACGCAGGGCGUCCAUCACUUAUUGGGACUUAAAUUAAGAUUUUGACAAUAUUUUAUUAUAAUUUUAUUUAAAUUAUAUAUUUUUAAUUUUAUGAAAUAUAAAAUAUUUUAAUUCAUUAUGCCAAUGAUUGUAUCUUUUUAUACUUAUAAGGUCUUUUAGUUGUUGUACUACUUGAAUAUUCUUAUUUAUUUAGGCUUAAAUAUAUAUGUAAAAUUAAUUAUUUUUUUGAGACUUAAAGUUUUAGUUUUAUUGACUUUGACUUUGGACCAAUCCUAUAUCCACAUGUAUUUCAUCUAAUAAACGAAUUGGUAUUAAAAA
Cicer arietinum (chickpea) is the source of this 567-nucleotide long non-coding RNA. RefSeq lists it as uncharacterized. The record is from RefSeq and is a predicted model, not a curated record. NCBI's taxonomy places the organism in Eukaryota, Viridiplantae, Streptophyta, Magnoliopsida, Fabales, Fabaceae.